RNAcentral lists this ribosomal RNA (543 nucleotides) under uncultured Halomicronema sp. Its description in RNAcentral is "bacterial SSU rRNA". It matches the Rfam family "Bacterial small subunit ribosomal RNA", at positions 66 to 651 of the family's 1533-position model. The record is from RNAcentral. Lineage: Bacteria; Bacillati; Cyanobacteriota; Cyanophyceae; Nodosilineales; Nodosilineaceae.
ACGAGAGCUUUUAGCUCUAGUGGCGGACGGGUGAGUAACACGUGAGAAUCUGCCCUUAGGAGGAGGAUAACAGCUGGAAACGGUUGCUAAUACUCCAUAUGCCGAGAGGUGAAAGGAUUUAUCCACCUAAGGAGGAGCUCGCGUCUGAUUAGCUAGUUGGUAGGGUAAAGGCCUACCAAGGCGACGAUCAGUAGCUGGUUUGAGAGGAUGAUCAGCCACACUGGGACUGAGACACGGCCCAGACUCCUACGGGAGGCAGCAGUAGGGAAUUUUCCGCAAUGGGCGAAAGCCUGACGGAGCAAUACCGCGUGAGGGAUGACGGCCUGUGGGUUGUAAACCUCUUUUCUCAAGGAAGAAGUUCUGACGGUACUUGAGGAAUAAGCAUCGGCUAACUCUGUGCCAGCAGCCGCGGUAAUACAGAGGAUGCAAGCGUUAUCCGGAAUCACUGGGCAUAAAGCGUCUGUAGGUUGUUUGGUAAGUCUGCUGUUAAAGACUGGGGCUCAACCCCAGAAAAGCAGUGGAAACUGCCGGACUUGAGUGUGG